RNAcentral lists this ribosomal RNA (120 nucleotides) under uncultured bacterium. RNAcentral describes it as "partial 16S ribosomal RNA". It matches the Rfam family "Bacterial small subunit ribosomal RNA", at positions 796 to 918 of the family's 1533-position model. The record is from RNAcentral.
CAUGCCGUAAACGAUGAAUGCUAGGUGUCGGGGGUCAAACCUCGGUGCCGCAGUUAACACAGUAAGCAUUCCGCCUGGGGAGUACGGUGGCAACACUGAAACUCAAAGGAAUUGACGGGG